CAGAGGACACCUUAGAGUUAGGUGAAAAGUUCAAGUUGACAUGUGAUUAUUUUACCCAUUUGCGGAUUACUGCGUUCUUGAAUGUCAUCUGACGCGAUGCAACAUGGCGAGCUCGAGUAGUGAAGCGUUCUACAAUCUUAGCAAUAAUGUUGUUAAGUGAUACAGUGUAGUAUAAGUAUAGAUACCUGGAUAGGUGGUGGAACCACAUGCUGAAAAGAAAAGAAACAAAGUGACGUAGUUAUCAUGGGAGACGUGACGACAAAUCAGCUAAGGGUUCCAAAUCACCACAAAUAUUGAGCCGAAGCGCAAAAUAGGAGUAAUCUACGUCACACUCGGCGCAUGUAACCUUUUAGGAGUGCAAACCUUGUCCUGCAUAUAUGGAUAUGGAAAGAAAAGCUGCCUGUUUUGAACUUAAGUUCAUUUGCUGUUGUUGUUUUUAGCAAAAAUCGUGAGAGUGAAAUCAUUUAAAGUACCUGCAUAGCGAGAUCAAAAACAUGUUACGACCAAGAGCAACUUCAAGAAACCUACUUAAAAAGGUCUGCAGCGAAGCAAGGGCGGAUACAGCUUAAAUUUUGUGGGGGUGUGGUUAAAUGGGCUUUAUUUGUUAUAAGCAAUGAUCAUGUUUGUCAAUGAUUGGAAAUAAUAAAAACAAAACUGUUAACGUUUUCUGCUCAAAGAGACAGCUACAGCACCGCUUUGCCCCUCCUUCCAUUCGCCAUUUGCAUAAAGAAAAACCUCAUCUUGUAAAAUUUGUUUUAAUAAAGGAAACAGAAAACUGG
RNAcentral lists this long non-coding RNA (779 nucleotides) under Exaiptasia diaphana. RNAcentral describes it as "uncharacterized LOC110255071, transcript variant X1". The record is from RNAcentral. Lineage: Eukaryota; Metazoa; Cnidaria; Anthozoa; Actiniaria; Aiptasiidae.